RNAcentral lists this ribosomal RNA (217 nucleotides) under Clostridioides difficile. RNAcentral describes it as "partial 23S ribosomal RNA". It matches the Rfam family "Bacterial large subunit ribosomal RNA", at positions 418 to 637 of the family's 2925-position model. The record is from RNAcentral. Lineage: Bacteria; Bacillati; Bacillota; Clostridia; Peptostreptococcales; Peptostreptococcaceae.
CGGGACACGUGAAACCCUGUGGGAAGCAGGAGGGACCACCCUCCAAGGCUAAAUACUACCUAGUGACCGAUAGCGUAUAGUACCGUGAGGGAAAGGUGAAAAGAACCCCGGGAGGGGAGGGAAAUAGAACCUGAAACCCUGCACUUACAAGCUGUGGAAGCACAUUUCUUGUGUGACCGCGUACUUUUUGUAGAACGGGCCAACGAGUUACGUUAAG